This 929-nucleotide ribosomal RNA is filed under the name uncultured Bacteroidota bacterium. Its description in RNAcentral is "bacterial SSU rRNA". It matches the Rfam family "Bacterial small subunit ribosomal RNA", at positions 1 to 917 of the family's 1533-position model. The record is from RNAcentral. Lineage: Bacteria; Pseudomonadati; Bacteroidota.
UGGAUCCAGACUUUGAUUAUGGCUCAGGAUGAACGCUAGCGACAGGCUUAACACAUGCAAGUCGAGGGGCAUCGGGGAUAAAGCUUGCUUUAUCUGCCGGCGACCGGCGCACGGGUGAGUAACACGUAUGCAACCUGCCCGUCACAGAGGGAUAAGCGUGAGAAAUCGCGUCUAAUACCGCAUGACACUCUGAAGAGACAUCUCUUUGGAGUCAAAGGAGCGAUCCGGUGACGGAUGGGCAUGCGCUGCAUUAGGUAGUUGGCGGUGUAACGGACCACCAAGCCGACGAUGCAUAGGGGUUCUGAGAGGAAGGUCCCCCACACUGGUACUGAGACACGGACCAGACUCCUACGGGAGGCAGCAGUGAGGAAUAUUGGUCAAUGGGCGAGAGCCUGAACCAGCCAAGUCGCGUGAGGGAAGACGGUCCUAUGGAUUGUAAACCUCUUUUGUCGGGGAGCAAGAAAGGGUAUGCAUACCCUACUGAGAGUACCCGAAGAAAAAGCAUCGGCUAACUCCGUGCCAGCAGCCGCGGUAAUACGGAGGAUGCGAGCGUUAUCCGGAUUUAUUGGGUUUAAAGGGUGCGCAGGCGGACUGUUAAGUCAGCGGUAAAAUAGCGGGGCUCAACCCCGUCGAGCCGUUGAAACUGGCAGUCUGGAGUGGGCGAGAAGUAUGCGGAAUGCGUGGUGUAGCGGUGAAAUGCAUAGAUAUCACGCAGAACUCCGAUUGCGAAGGCAGCAUACCGGCGCCCAACUGACGCUCAGGCACGAAAGCGUGGGUAUCGAACAGGAUUAGAUACCCUGGUAGUCCACGCAGUAAACGAUGAAUACUAAUUGUUCGGCGAGAAUGAUCGCUGAGUGAUACAGCGAAAGCGUUAAGUAUUCCACCUGGGGAGUACGCCGGCAACGGUGCAACUCAAAGGAAUUGACGGA